RNAcentral lists this ribosomal RNA (229 nucleotides) under uncultured bacterium. Its description in RNAcentral is "partial 16S ribosomal RNA". It matches the Rfam family "Bacterial small subunit ribosomal RNA", at positions 568 to 796 of the family's 1533-position model. The record is from RNAcentral.
UGCGUAGGCGGACUCAUAAGUCAGUGGUGAAAUCUUGCAGCUUAACUGUAAAACUGCCAUUGAUACUGUUAGUCUUGAAUUUAGUUGAGGUAGGCGGAAUGUAUUGUGUAGCGGUGAAAUGCAUAGAUAUAAUACAGAACACCGAUUGCGAAGGCAGCUUACUAAGCUAUAAUUGACGCUGAUGCACGAAAGCGUGGGGAGCGAACGGGAUUAGAUACCCUGGUAGUCC